CACAGGGCAUUUCCUGAGGAUUAAUGGCUGCCUGGGAAUGGGUGAGGCCAGCACUGCAACUAUCAGCCAUUAGCUCCAGCUGCCCAUUAAUUCCCAAGACAUGUUCUGCA
Molecule: non-coding RNA, 110 nt
Organism: Podarcis lilfordi (Lilford's wall lizard)
Lineage: Eukaryota; Metazoa; Chordata; Lepidosauria; Squamata; Lacertidae
Source: the annotation of a GenBank genome assembly